RNAcentral lists this ribosomal RNA (427 nucleotides) under uncultured bacterium. RNAcentral describes it as "bacterial SSU rRNA". It matches the Rfam family "Bacterial small subunit ribosomal RNA", at positions 34 to 507 of the family's 1533-position model. The record is from RNAcentral.
CGCUGGCGGCAUGCCUAACACAUGCAAGUCGAACGAAGGCUUCGGCCUUAGUGGCGCACGGGUGCGUAACGCGUGGGAAUCUGCCCAAAGGUACGGAAUAACUCCUCGAAAGGGGUGCUAAUACCGUAUGAUGUCGCAAGACCAAAGAUUUAUCGCCUUUGGAGGAGCCCGCGUAGGAUUAGGUAGUUGGUGAGGUAAAGGCUCACCAAGCCGACGAUCCUUAGCUGGUCUGAGAGGAUGAUCAGCCACACUGGGACUGAGACACGGCCCAGACUCCUACGGGAGGCAGCAGUGGGGAAUAUUGGACAAUGGGCGAAAGCCUGAUCCAGCAAUGCCGCGUGAGUGAUGAAGGCCUUAGGGUUGUAAAGCUCUUUUACCCGGGAAGAUAAUGACUGUACCGGGAGAAUAAGCCCCGGCUAACUCCGUG